This 455-nucleotide ribosomal RNA is filed under the name uncultured bacterium. Its description in RNAcentral is "bacterial SSU rRNA". It matches the Rfam family "Bacterial small subunit ribosomal RNA", at positions 30 to 506 of the family's 1533-position model. The record is from RNAcentral.
UUGAACGCUGGCGGCAUGCCUUACACAUGCAAGUCGAACGGUAACAGGUCUUCGGAUGCUGACGAGUGGCGAACGGGUGAGUAAUACAUCGGAACGUGCCCGAUCGUGGGGGAUAACGCAGCGAAAGCUGUGCUAAUACCGCAUACGAUCUACGGAUGAAAGCGGGGGAUCGCAAGACCUCGCGCGGACGGAGCGGCCGAUGGCAGAUUAGGUAGUUGGUGGGAUAAAAGCUUACCAAGCCGACGAUCUGUAGCUGGUCUGAGAGGACGACCAGCCACACUGGGACUGAGACACGGCCCAGACUCCUACGGGAGGCAGCAGUGGGGAAUUUUGGACAAUGGGCGAAAGCCUGAUCCAGCCAUGCCGCGUGCAGGAUGAAGGCCUUCGGGUUGUAAACUGCUUUUGUAUGUCAAGAAAAUGACGGUAGCAUAUGAAUAAGCACCGGCUAACUCCGU